RNAcentral lists this ribosomal RNA (483 nucleotides) under uncultured eukaryote. RNAcentral's name for it is "bacterial SSU rRNA". It matches the Rfam family "Eukaryotic small subunit ribosomal RNA", at positions 1296 to 1831 of the family's 1831-position model. The record is from RNAcentral.
AGUUGGUGGAGUGAUUUGUCUGGUUAAUUCCGAUAACGAACGAGACUUUAACCUGCUAAUUAGUCGUCCUCAUUUUAUGGGGUAUGACUUCUUAGAGGGACUAUGCAUAUCAAGUGCAUGGAAGUUUGAGGCAAUAACAGGCCAGUGAUGCCCUUAUAUGUCCUGGGCUGCACGCGUGCUACACUGAUGCAUACAACAAGUGCCUAACCAGACAUGGUAUGGCAAUCUAGAAUAUGCAUCGUGAUGGGGUUGGUCUUUGCAAUUAUAGAUCUUGAACGAGGAAUUCCUAGUAAGUGCAAGUCAUCAUCUUGCAUUGAUUAUGACCUUGCCCUUUGUACACACCGCCCGUCGCUCCUACCGAUACCGGGUGAUCCGGUGAACCUUUUGGACCUGCAAGGGGAAGAUAAGUAAACCAUAUCACCUAGAGGAAGGAGAAGUCGUAACAAGGUUUCCGUAGGUGAACCUGCAGAAGGAUCAUAAUCG